GAUGAACGCUGGCGGCGUGCCUAAUACAUGCAAGUCGAGCGAACGGACGAGAAGCUUGCUUCUCUGAUGUUAGCGGCGGACGGGUGAGUAACACGUGGAUAACCUACCUAUAAGACUGGGAUAACUUCGGGAAACCGGAGCUAAUACCGGAUGAUAUUUUGAACCGCAUGGUUCAAAAGUGAAAGACGGUCUUGCUGUCACUUAUAGAUGGAUCCGCGCUGCAUUAGCUAGUUGGUAAGGUAACGGCUUACCAAGGCAACGAUGCAUAGCCGACCUGAGAGGGUGAUCGGCCACAUUGGAACGGAGACACGGUCAAGACUCCUACGGGAGGCAGCAGUAGGGAAUCUUCCGCAAUGGGCGAAAGCCUGACGGAGCAACGCCGCGUGAGUGAUGAAGGUCUUCGGAUCGUAAAACUCUGUUAUUAGGGAAGAACAUAUGUGUAAGUAACUGUGCACAUCUUGACGGUACCUAAUCAGAAAGCCACGGCUAACUACGUG
RNAcentral lists this ribosomal RNA (497 nucleotides) under uncultured bacterium. RNAcentral's name for it is "partial 16S ribosomal RNA". It matches the Rfam family "Bacterial small subunit ribosomal RNA", at positions 28 to 507 of the family's 1533-position model. The record is from RNAcentral.